This 866-nucleotide small RNA is filed under the name Malus domestica (apple). Its description in RNAcentral is "sRNA MD07G0014900". The record is from RNAcentral. Lineage: Eukaryota; Viridiplantae; Streptophyta; Magnoliopsida; Rosales; Rosaceae.
CCAAACCCAACUCGUGCAAUCUCUCUCUCAGGCAAAACCAUAAGCCGCCGAGCAGCUGGACCAGGAUCAGAAUCCGGGCGAAGGAAGAAUCUACCAAAACCGAUGAAACUCCGAGCUCACCGCCGAGUAGCCGGAGCAGGAUCAGAAUCCCGGCGGGGGAAGAAACCAGCCAUACCGAUGAAACUCCGAGAUAUGAAGAAAACGGCUGUUAAAGACUCUCCGACUAACUAAAAAAAGAAAAUUUUGUUCAAGAGGGUAUGGCUGAGCUCCAACUUAACGAGAAGAAUACUACUACUCCAAAACCAGAAGAGAGGAAAACGCGCAGCGCAGUCGUAUUUACUAGACCUUUCAAAUUCACAAUCCCUUGUAAAGUUUGCGGUGUGGUUGGCCACUUGAAUGAUGAUUGCCCCUACAUGAAACGUGUUCCAAACAAUGUAACUGAGGUUGGCAAGGGCUAUGAAAUAGUUACCUUCCGUGGUGAGAAGCAUGCUGUUAGGAUGUUAUGUGGUUAUUGUCAUAUCAGCGCUGACCACCAGAGCGAUGACUGCCCGCAUAAGAGCAAAAUCAUUGCAUGGAAGAACUCCCUUCGGAAGCCCCCUCCUGUAGGUCCUCUCACCUCCUGAUCUUGCUGAUGCUCAGGAUUGCGGCGGCACUGCCGAUUUGGAUGGUUAUAUCUACUCUUGUCUUGGAAUGCUGCUGUCCUGUUCGUUUUCUUUGGAUUUUAGCACUCUGUGGUCAGUCUGUCUGUACGUAUGUCAUGUAUGUCUUUGAAGAAGCACGUUCCGUCCCGUCAUUCUAACGUUAGUUGUAUUCUCUAUAUACUUGGAUUUAUUCUACUCAUUCUAAUGGUUAGUUGUAUUCUCCAU